GGAAUUGCUAGUAAUGGCAGGUCAGCAUACUGCCGUGAAUACGUUCCCGGGCCUUGUACACACCGCCCGUCACACCAUGAGAGUUGGGAAUACCCGAAGCCUGUGAGCCAACUUUUAAAGAGGCAGCAGUCGAAGGUAGAAUCAAUGAUUGGGGUGAAGUCGUAACAAGGUAAC
RNAcentral lists this ribosomal RNA (174 nucleotides) under uncultured bacterium. RNAcentral's name for it is "partial 16S ribosomal RNA". It matches the Rfam family "Bacterial small subunit ribosomal RNA", at positions 1328 to 1500 of the family's 1533-position model. The record is from RNAcentral.